Molecule: long non-coding RNA, 101 nt
Organism: Ochotona curzoniae (black-lipped pika)
Lineage: Eukaryota; Metazoa; Chordata; Mammalia; Lagomorpha; Ochotonidae
Exons: 4
Source: RefSeq, a predicted model, not a curated record
UAGAAUAAAUUUCAAAAGGAGAGCAUAUUUUGUCCGGCAGAAGUCCCAGAUGCAGCAGGGUGCAGGAGAUAUUUUUUGGCACAUGCUGUUUCUGACUUAUA